AAUGAGCCUAGAAGGGUUGCAGGUGUGGCUGCUGUGUCACAUGUGCAUCAGUAGGUAGCAGAGAGGAGAGAGAGCAUGUCUACACUCACUGUUUUGACCUCUGAACAUCUGAAUAAUUAGUAGCCUGACACU
Small nucleolar RNA from Mastomys coucha (southern multimammate mouse), 132 nucleotides. RefSeq annotates it as small nucleolar RNA SNORA17. The record is from RefSeq and is a predicted model, not a curated record. Lineage: Eukaryota; Metazoa; Chordata; Mammalia; Rodentia; Muridae. The transcript has a single exon.